UGAAUACGAGAUGCUACGGCGUCGAAGCAGUCUAUGUCAUACUUCCAAGAAAAGCUCGCACUGUCAUAAACAAAUAAUGCCUGUACCAUAACCGACACAGGUGGGUAGGUAGAGUAUACUAAGGGGCGCGAGAUAACUCUCUCUAAGGAACUCGGCAAAAUGACUCCGUAACUUCGGGAGAAGGAGUGCCUUAUUUAUAAGGUUGCAAUAACAAGAUCCAAGCAACUGUUUAUCAAAAACACAGGUCUCCGCUAAGUCGUAAGACGAUGUAUGGGGGCUGACGCCUGCCCAGUGCCAGAAGGUUAAAGAAGUUGGUUAGCAUUCGCGAAGCUGAUAACUGAAGCCCUGGUGAACGGCGGCCGUAACUAUAACGGUCCUAAGGUAGCGAAAUUCCUUGUCGGGUAAGUUCCGACCCGCACGAAAGGCGUAAUGAUUUGGAUACUGUCUCGGAGAGGGGCUCGGUGAAAUAGACUUGUCUGUGAAGAUGCGGACUACCUGCACCAGGACAGAAAGACCCUAUGAAGCUUUACUGUAACUUGAGAUUGAAAUUGGACUUUACUUGCGCAGUAUAGGUGGGAGGCGUUGAUAAUAUUCUUGCGGGAUUAUUUGAGCCAUCAGUGAGAUACCACUCUUGUAAUGUUAGAUUUCUAACUUUGUAUCAUUAUCUGGUCAAAGGACAGUUUCAGGCGGGCAGUUUGACUGGGGCGGUCGCCUCCUAAACGGUAACGGAGGCGCACAAAGGUUUCCUCUGAACGGGUAGAAAUCGUAUCUAGAGUGUAAAGGCAUAAGGAAGCUUGACUGUGAGACCUACAAGUCGAGCAGGGACGAAAGUCGGUCUUAGUGAUCUGACGGUGCUGAGUGGAAAGGCCGUCACUCAACGGAUAAAAGUUACUCUAAGGAUAACAGGCUGAUCUCCCCCAAGAGUUCACAUCGACGGGGAGGUUUUGCACCUCGAUGUCGGCACAUCGCAUCCUGGGGCGGUAGUACGUCCCAAGGGUUGGGCUGUUCGCCCAUGAAAGCGGUACGCGAGCUGGGUUCAGAACGUCGUGAGACAGUUCGGUCCAUAUCCGGUGUAGGCGUUAGAAUAUUGAGAGGAGCCUUCUUUAGUACGAGAGGACCGAGAAGGACAUACCUCUGGUGUACCAGUUAUCGUGCCAACGGUAAACGCUGGGUAGCUAUGUAUGGAGUGGAUAACCGCUGAAAGCAUCUAAGUGGGAAGCCCACCUCAAGAUAAGUAUUCUCAC
Molecule: ribosomal RNA, 1244 nt
Filed under: metagenome
Description: bacterial LSU rRNA
Rfam family: Bacterial large subunit ribosomal RNA
Source: RNAcentral